Molecule: ribosomal RNA, 206 nt
Filed under: Pycnococcus provasolii
Lineage: Eukaryota; Viridiplantae; Chlorophyta; Pseudoscourfieldiophyceae; Pseudoscourfieldiales; Pycnococcaceae
Description: partial Bacterial large subunit ribosomal RNA
Rfam family: Bacterial large subunit ribosomal RNA
Source: RNAcentral
UGAGGCUAAACCGGGCGUGUUUGAUAGCUGUCAGGCGUUGCAUGUUCGGGGUCGUGGGACCUCUUGGUCGGUGCUGACAAGCCGACAUGGAGUCAAAAAUUCGCGUUAUAGUCGAAGGGCAUUGAAAGGCCCGGCACAGAGGGUGCAACCCCCGUAGACGAAAUGGCGCGAACUCCAGAGAGUCAUCCCAAGUAGCACGGGGCCCG